Molecule: ribosomal RNA, 561 nt
Filed under: Lipomyces chibensis
Lineage: Eukaryota; Fungi; Ascomycota; Lipomycetes; Lipomycetales; Lipomycetaceae
Description: partial 26S ribosomal RNA
Rfam family: Eukaryotic large subunit ribosomal RNA
Source: RNAcentral
AAACCAACAGGGAUUGCCUUAGUAACUGCGAGUGAAGCGGCAAGAGCUCAAAUUUGAAAUCUGGCAACCGCCCGAAUUGUAAUUUGUAGAAGCAAUUUUUGAACUAGUCCUUGCAUAUGUUCCUUGGAACAGGACAUCAUAGAGGGUGAGAAUCCCGUUCAUGGUGGGGAGCCUAGUUCUUUGUAAAAUGCUUUCGACGAGUCGAGUUGUUUGGGAAUGCAGCUCUAAGUGGGUGGUAAAUUCCAUCUAAAGCUAAAUAUUGGCGAGAGACCGAUAGCGAACAAGUACAGUGAUGGAAAGAUGAAAAGUACUCCGAAAGGAGAGUGAAAUAGGACGUGAAAUUGUUGAAAGGGAAGUGCUUGAGAUCAGUGAUAGAGUGUAGUGAUCAACUUUCUUUUUAGUUUGUGCACUUGCUACUCUCUAGGCCAGCAUCAGUUUGAGAGUUAGGAUAAUUGCAUAGGAAUGUGGCUGUUUCGGCAGUGUUAUAGCCUGUGUCGAUACUACUUCUCAGACUGAGGACCGCGCAUUUGCUAGGAUGCUGGCAUAAUGAUCUUAAGCAGC